CACGCAGGUGGCGAGAUAAGUUGGAUGUGAAAUUCCCGUGCUUAACAUGGGGACUGCAUCCAAAACUGUUGAACUGGAGUACUGUAGAGGGAGGUAGAAUUCCACGUGUAGCGGUGAAAUGCGUAGAUAUCGGGAGGAACAUCGGUGGCGAAGGCGGGUAACUGGACUGCAACUGACGCUGAGGCGCGAAAGUGUGGGAGCAAACA
This 206-nucleotide ribosomal RNA is filed under the name uncultured bacterium. Its description in RNAcentral is "partial 16S ribosomal RNA". It matches the Rfam family "Bacterial small subunit ribosomal RNA", at positions 568 to 774 of the family's 1533-position model. The record is from RNAcentral.